GAGCCCGUCGAGAGACACGAGAAGCGCGCCAUCGGCGGAACUGCCCAGCACCUCUGGCUUGGGGUGGCGGGACGCAGCCACCCGGUCGACGCCUUCAGGCGAGAGGCCGUAGAUUCCCUGGACUCCAGGCAUCUGAGGGCUCUGUCUCCCCAGCGGCCUCAGGACAGAGCAAGGCCCCCAGCAGGUGCCUCGAGACUGCCACACACCUGCCAGAAGCAUUCAGAGUCGUCUGUGAGCCCUGAGCCUGGGCUCCUGAGGAGGAGGAUCCAAGGCUGGGAAACCAGGGCCCUUCCCUAACCUCUGGCCAGCCAUACCUGUGUUGGCCCUGACAGAAGCUGGGUAGCUGACUGCCCGGCCCCGCUCCGCUGUGACAGUCACCACAUAUUCUACGCCUGGCAUCAGGUCAGUCAGCAGCGUCCCGUCUGCUUCAGGGGGCACUUCCAGCCGCACCCUCUGGUUGCCGGCACUGACGUAGGACACCACAAAUCGGUCCACCUCAGCCUGGGGACGCAGCCAGCCAAGCUCCAGUGUUGUCGGUGUCACAGCCACCACUCGGAGGUCCUGGGGCCCAUCGAUCACUAGCCAGGUUAAAGAGGAGGGCUCAGGCUCAGAGAAGACCCAGAAUGUGACAGACGCCCAUACCGAGAGCAGAAUGGAUGAGCUAAGAACAUGGCCAAGCCUGGCACAGGCCAACUUGGCACCACCACCCUGGCUCUGAGUGAGGGAGAAAGUCUAGGGCUUCAACUGGAAAGCGGCGCCCUUGACAACACCAAGGAUCGAGUCCUGGCUAAGCUGAUGAAGAUGAGGAUGACAUGGCCCACACCCCAUAUGGCAUUUGUGGGAUGAUGCAGGAAAACAUGAGUUGGAUGGUAGAAAUGUCAGAAGAUUUGGAGCUGGGGAAACGACCAUAUCUUAAAAGCCCAGUCUGCACAAAGGGAGGCCCCAAAUAAGUGACUACAAGGCUUUGUCCUUAGGGUGUUCCCUCUAAUGUUUUAAGAGCAAGUUGGAUGGCCGGGAGUGGUGGCUCAUGCCUGUAAUCCCAGCACUUUGGGAGGCUGAGGCGGGCAGAUCACUUGUGCCCAGGAGUUCAGGACCAGCCUGGGCAUGCAACAUGGAGAAACCCUGUCUCUACUAAAAAUACAAACAUUAGCAGGCUAAGGUGGUGCACACCUGUAGUCCCAGCUACUUGGGAGGCUGAGGUAAGAGGAUGACCUAAGCCUGGGAUGCAGAGGUUGCAGUGAGCUGAGAUGGCACCACUGCACUCGAGCCUGGGCCACAGAGUGAGACUCUCUGUCUCAAAAAAAAAAAAAAAAAAAAAAAGAGCAAGUUGGAGGGAGACAGAGAAAAAACUGGUUUGCAUGUGCUGAUGACAAGGAGGUGGGAGAUGAAGUUCACAGACUCAAAAUUAUUGCAACAGCCUAGACAGCUUGGCCCAAACCAAAAAAGAUAACAUUGAACAGGGCCAAAUGCAAAGGCCUAUAUUUAGGUGAAAAAAAAAAAGUGUAUAUAGUUGAAUGUUGUCUUCUUUCCUUCCAUCUUUUUUCCCUGCUAAUCUGUAUUUUCUAAGUUUUCUGCACGGGGCCUAUAUUACUUUUAUAAUUAAAAGUUACUUAAAAAACCAAA
Molecule: long non-coding RNA, 1623 nt
Organism: Gorilla gorilla gorilla (western lowland gorilla)
Lineage: Eukaryota; Metazoa; Chordata; Mammalia; Primates; Hominidae
Exons: 4
Source: RefSeq, a predicted model, not a curated record